Molecule: ribosomal RNA, 680 nt
Filed under: uncultured Bacteroides sp.
Lineage: Bacteria; Pseudomonadati; Bacteroidota; Bacteroidia; Bacteroidales; Bacteroidaceae
Description: bacterial SSU rRNA
Rfam family: Bacterial small subunit ribosomal RNA
Source: RNAcentral
GAUGAAUACUCGCUGUUUGCGAUAUACGGCAAGCGGCCAAGCGAAAGCGUUAAGUAUUCCACCUGGGGAGUACGCCGGCAACGGUGAAACUCAAAGGAAUUGACGGGGGCCCGCACAAGCGGAGGAACAUGUGGUUUAAUUCGAUGAUACGCGAGGAACCUUACCCGGGCUUAAAUUGCACUCGAAUGAUCCGGAAACGGUUCAGCUAGCAAUAGCGAGUGUGAAGGUGCUGCAUGGUUGUCGUCAGCUCGUGCCGUGAGGUGUCGGCUUAAGUGCCAUAACGAGCGCAACCCUUGUUGUCAGUUACUAACAGGUGAUGCUGAGGACUCUGACAAGACUGCCAUCGUAAGAUGUGAGGAAGGUGGGGAUGACGUCAAAUCAGCACGGCCCUUACGUCCGGGGCUACACACGUGUUACAAUGGGGGGUACAGAGGGCCGCUACCACGCGAGUGGAUGCCAAUCCCUAAAACCCCUCUCAGUUCGGACUGGAGUCUGCAACCCGACUCCACGAAGCUGGAUUCGCUAGUAAUCGCGCAUCAGCCACGGCGCGGUGAAUACGUUCCCGGGCCUUGUACACACCGCCCGUCAAGCCAUGGGAGCCGGGGGUACCUGAAGUGCGUAACCGCGAGGAUCGGCCUAGGGUAAAACUGGUGACUGGGGCUAAGUCGUAACAAGGUAAC